This 1478-nucleotide long non-coding RNA is filed under the name Androctonus crassicauda. The record is from RNAcentral. Lineage: Eukaryota; Metazoa; Arthropoda; Arachnida; Scorpiones; Buthidae.
AAAGAAAGAUAAAAAAAUCCAUUUCUAGUUACGAAAUUAAAACAGGAAAAAGAGAGCAUGAAGGAUGGCAAAUAUUUAGAAAAAUACAAAUAUGGAAUGGAGAGUACAUUAAAAAAAUCUACAUAAAAGUGAUUUAUGUACUACUAUUUAUCAAGAAAUCCUUGAAUGAACUGUGACGAUAUAAGAUGACUGCUUUUAUGGCUCUUAUAGCAAGGAUUAAUAUAGGAAUAAUAAUUAGGAAUAGGAAGAAUAUCAUAAUCUAUAUUAAUAUAGGAUAAUAUAGGAAUAUCAUAUAAGGAUUAUAUGACAUUCUAGUAGAGAAGAGGAAGCAAAAAGGAAAUUGGACUGGGUUGAUUAAGUAGACUCAAACAUAUUAUAUGGCAAGCACUGUCUUGAAAUUAUAAAAGAAGAUAUGAAAAAAGCUAGAAAGCAUAAGCAUUGGACCAAAAUGAUGAAGUUAAAGGGUUUUACAACAUCAUUAUUAGCAGAUCUAUAUUGAACACGAGAAAGACAAUAGAAAGAAGUAUAAAAACUUGAUUUAUAAUAGGAGAAAUAUACUGUAUAACAUGAUACGUAUUGAUAAGGACUGAAUUGAGGAAAAAAGAUAGAAAGGCAGUUGUUUAUAAAAUACCAGUAAUGAAUAAAGACAUGAAUAGCAUGGAAAUUUAUAUAGGGUACAUGUCAAGGAACCUUUCAAUAAGACUAAAAGAGGAUAAUGAUUCUAAGGUCCUUCGAAUGGCACUUUCACAAAGAAUGGUAGCAUGCAAAGUGAAAGUGAACUGUGAUGAUGCUAGGCUGUUAAGUGAUAUUGAUAAAUUAAGGAAGGAUAAGAUUGCUAAAAAUAUAGUGAUUUAUAAAAGAAAAUCAAAAAAAAUUAAUGAAUUAAUAAAUUGGAUCCAUGUAUGAUUGAGUGUGGUGUGGAAGUGGUGCCAUAAAAAAUUGUAAAGUUUAAGGUUUUAAUAUUAGUAGAUGAUCUUAUAUAGAUGUAAUAAUAAGAUAUAUAUUGAACAUUGAAUUUUAUAUAUAUGGAUUUCAAAAUGAAUUAAUCUACUAAUGGUACUAGUUUGUUAGUUUUAUUUCCAAGUAUAUUCUACAAUACUACUAAUAGAUACCAUGGUUGUGAAACCUAUUAUUAUUUAUGCUGCCAUCAUUUGGUGGCAUGGAGUUCUGUUUAAGACAUGAGUAAACUUCAGAAAACUCAAAGGAUGAUCUCUCUGAACAUCACAGGAAUUAUAAAAAAUGCUCUUACUGUUCUUGAAAUCCUCUAUGGUAUGGUAUUUCCCUCCUUGCAUUUGUAUUUUGAGACUAAUCUCCAGGAGGGUUAGUGUAAGUUCUGUUGUGGGAGAAUUUCUUGGAUCUACAACAUUUUGAAUCUUUUGAAUGGAACAAAACAGUGAAGAAUAACUAUAGCACUAUAAGCGGGGGCAGGUUUUAUUAUGGCAAGGUGUUUUCGGACUUUACAUCUAGUCCCUCUUCAG